This 4581-nucleotide long non-coding RNA is filed under the name Ananas comosus (pineapple). RNAcentral's name for it is "long non-coding RNA (ACOM_LNC013860)". The record is from RNAcentral. Lineage: Eukaryota; Viridiplantae; Streptophyta; Magnoliopsida; Poales; Bromeliaceae.
AUAAUUUUACGAGUCUAACUAUAGUGCUUCCAGAAAUAUAAAUGAGUUGGUACUUCUAAAUUUUUAACCCUUAGGGUGCGUUUGGUUCGCAUUAUGAAAGAUUACUAGGAAUAAAAGAUAUCCGAGAAUCUUAUUCCUAUUCAUUCUAUUACUAAGAAUGUGAAAUUCCUGUGUUUGGUUCGCACGGUAAUAUUAAUUAGCCAUGUUAUUUAAUAUUACAAAAAAUAUACAAUUAAUUAAUUUAUUUAUUUAAUUAAUUUUAGAUAAUGUUACCAAAAGUUUCAACAUCUUUUUAGAAAAAAAGGAGAGAGUAUAAGUUAGAGAGAGAAAGCAUAAUUAAAAAAAUAGAAAGAAAAAUAUAGUCGAAAUUUGAGGGAGUGAGAGAGUUGAAAUUUUAGAGAGAGAGAGAGAAAGCUUAGUUUAGAAAGAGAAAAAAAAGUUGAAUUUUAGAGAGAAAAAUAAGUUUAGAGAGAGAUAUAAGGCUAGAGUGUAAAGAAAAAUAAUAUCAAUUAGCCUGCGGGUAGGAAGAAAAAAAGAUAUUAGACGUAUUAUGAUUACCCCAAUCCAUUAAUAUGAGGAUACCCACCCUCCCUCAAGAGAAUGAGAUUAGUACUUUGGGGUGAAUCUUAUUCCCAAGUGAAUCUAAUAUUACCAACUAGAUUACUUAGUGCGUUUAGCCAAACACCGUCAUAUUUUUUUAUUCCCAUUGGAUUACUAGGAAUCUUUAAAAGAUAGCGCGAACCAAACGCACCCUUAGAUCAACUUUUUUAAUGAUUUCUAAUUUUUGGAUUAAUAAUAUUUUCCUAAAAAAAUCACUAAAUUACAAGGAGAUCACUAUCAUUCCAAUAAUAUAGUUUUUGAUCCAAAAGCUAAAAAGUUAAAAACGCCAAUUCCUUUAUACUUUUGAAAGAAUAGUAGUUCUGCACUAAUUUUAUAUUAUAUUGAAAGCGCUUUAGUAUUUUUAAAAUUUUUUAUAGUAGAAAAUAAUAUUUUUAGUAACCACGUUACCAAACUAGCACGUUACCAAACUAGGACUGAAAUGAAAAAAAAAAUAUUGUAACAGUUGUAUCCUAUAAGAUAUACCUUUAAUCAAUCUUACUGUGCAAUAUAAAAUAAUAAAGAGUUUAAUAAAAAUUAAAUAAUAAUUUUUUAAUAAAAUAAUAUUUUAGAUAAUUUUAUUAUUGUAUUUGUGUGCAGUAUAAAUAUUUUUGAUUGAAUACUAUUAUUUUAAUAUGAAAUAAUUGUGACAGAAAAUACUUUGUCUAUUCUAAGGGACAUCAUACAUAUACAUUGGAUAAAAAUGUAUGAAGACGCGCUGAAGUUCCGAACUCUAUGUCAUUUCUCAAAUGACCCCCUCAACUUUUAUAUAUUUCUUAAAAUUUUUCUUUUGAUUUUUUAGAACCGACUAAUUAUAGCUAAAAACUUUUAGAUUUUAAUAAAAUUUAUAGAUAAUUUUAUUAAAUUUAAUAAUUUAAUUAUUAUUAGUAAAUAAAAUAAAUUAAUUAAUGGUUGAUAACUUAAAAAUUAACCGUUAACUAAGUAUAAAAACUCAAAAAAAAAAGGAUGAAAAAAUUUGAACUAAAAGAAAGAUAGUUUAGAAAUCUAUUCCAAGAUGGCCAAGGAGCAGUUUUAUUUCAAAGAAAAAAGAAAUGCUACUAUACCCCGACCCACUUAGGGAGCGUUUGGAUUGAUGAAUAUGUAGAUCUAAUAAAACUCAAGUGCAGUGGUUUUUAAAUUUUCCUAAAAUGUGAUUAUUUUUUUAUUAUUUGUUUUAACGUAAUUCGUAUAAUCUGAAAGUUAAAUUUAAUUAUUUCUUCUGGUUAUUUUGAUAUAAUUUGGUACUAGUAAAAUUAGGUUUAUGCGUUUCAUUAUUUGUUUUGAUGUAAGUAAGUGGAUUUCGUUAUCUCUUGAAUAUGAUGGUAAAUUUACCGCUAUAAAAUUUAACCUAUUAAAUAAUUAAUUUUUUUAUUAUUUAAAGAUAAUUCUAAUUUAUUAUAAAUAAGGUAAUUUUAAUCCAUUAUAAAAGAAGUAGAGUUUAGGUUUUACUAUUUAAUAAAUUUUUUAGAGAAUAUUGAAUAAGGCGGAAGUCGAGUUCGACACUUUAGAGGGAGAAGUCGAGAGUAGGUGAAGUGGAGGUCUAAUAUAACUUGAGUUAGACUAUAUUUUUGACUUACACCAAAACAAAUAUCGAGAGUAAUAAAACUUGAGUUCCAUCCCUUCACUUAUACCAAAACAAACAGCCCCUUAAUGGAUAGAGUAAUUUUGUUGGUCAGAUCGAGAUGACGGAUGGAGAAAUCUUAUUUAUUGGAUGGAUAAAAUAUUAAAUUUAUAUACAAUUUUGAAGGUAUGGAUAGUAUUGCUCUUCAACGCUCUUGCUUUGAAAUAAUAUAAAAGGUAAGCUUUAAAUUGCCCGGGGUUACAAUGUAUUUUCACUUUGCCCGUUGUGGUACAAAGGUUUGCACUUUGUCUCUCUGAUUUAGCUCAUUUUUAUUUUGUUAUCCUGUAAUUCAAAAAAUUAUACUUAAUUAUUCUAUUAUUUACACAGUAUUUUACUUUGCUAUCCUAUUUGACAUAGAAAUUUCCUUGUUGAAAUAAAAAUUAAGCCACAAGCAGCAAAGUGCAACAUUUAAUAUUACAGGAUGAUAAUAAGCUACACCAAAAGGGGUAAUUUAAAAUUUAUCCUAAAAUAAAUAAAAAAUGCUACAUCUACAUCCCUUUGGGGGUUGCAAAUCUUACACCCUAGGCUAGACACAAGGGUUCACAAAGGCACUUUUGUUGUUAGUAAUAAUAAUAAUAAUAACAUAAAAUAAAUAAGAUGGUUAAAACAUGAGCCACCCAAGGGCUAACUUGUAUAGUUUAUACCUAUUUAAUAAGUGUAUGAGUAGCAUUACCCAAAAUAAAUUGGUACGUCAAACUUUUCUCUGGCAGUUCAUCUUUUAGAGCUAAGCUAAAAUGUUAUUAGUAGUAAACGGGUUUUAUUGUCACUCCUUUAUUUUCGAUGAUGAAGUUUCCAAAUCGAUGAUCUGCACUGUUAAAUAUGAUCUAUACUACUUGAAGUAUCUAAAAACUAAAUUUGACAUUUUUCCGAUAUUGUUCUCUGUCCACCAAGUGGGUACAAAAUUAAUGGUUAAAAACGAAUAUUCUUUAAAAAGUGAUGAUAAAAAUCUUAUAAUCAAGAUUAAGAGUAUAGACCUCGUUUUAAAUAGUUUAAAGAAUUUUCUAAUCAAAAUUCGAUUGAUUUGGAUAUCUUUAUAUCGUUAAACGAAAAAAUGCCUCAUAUUGAUCAUUAAAAUUACAAAAUUUGAAACCAUUUAAUCAUUAGAUCAAUGAUAUCGAAAAGAUUAAAAUUUGGUUUCUAUACGCUCCAAGUGGUAUAGAUCAUUUUGAAUGAUUCCAAUCGUCGAUUUGGAGGCUCGAUCAUCAAAAAUAAUUGGAUGGGAAUGAAAUCUGUUUGUUACUGAUAGUAUUUCAGCUCUUCUCUGAUCUUUUAAUACGGUAGAAAAAUUUUGGUAACCCUAACCUAAACUUUGGGUGAUUUAAAAAUAACUAUCCAACUUCACAAAAUUUUACUUUGUUAUCUGACAUUUCAAAUAGUGUGAUUUGCCGUUUUAAAAGUAAUUGCAUGUCCAUGAUGCCCAGAUAUUUUUAUGGGCUUUUUUUUGCAAAUAGCCCCAUGAGCAAUUUUUAUUUUAAAAAUAGCCCUAUCAAAAUUAAAAUUACAAAAAUGACCCUGUUCAUGCCACGCAGGCGCCACGUCAGCGCCACGCGGGCAGAGCUAGGGCCAGGGUAUUAAGUUGAAUACAGUGAAUCAUUUACCAUGUCUAAACACGGUGAAUGAUUCACCGUAUUUCUUACGUAUUUUUUGUAUAUUGAAAAGUGGAAUAAGGAGUAGGGACGUCAAUAGGUAUGGAUAUCCGAAAUAUUAUCCGAAACCAAACCCGAAUAAAUUAUAUAUAUAUAUAUAUAUAUAUAUAUAUAUAUAUAUAUAUAUAUAUAUACACACACGUAAUANUGAAUUUCUCAUACAAAUUGGCCAAUAUUAAUAUAUAAAUGAUAAAAUAAUAAAAUAAAUAAUAUAUCAAAUUUAAUUAAUUUAUAAUAUAUUAUAAGAUUUAAGUAUAAAUAUAUUAUCAUAGAUAAUAUUAAUAUUAAUAUAUUUAUUUUUUAUUAAAUAUUUUAUAUAUUAUAUAAAUAAACAAAAAUAAAUUAUGUAUAUAUAUAUAAUUUAUUUGGCUUUGAAUUCGGAUAAUAUUUCGGAUAUCCAUACCUAUUGACAUCCCUACUCCUUAUUCCACUUUUCAAUAUACAAAAAAUACGUAAUAAAAAAUACGUACUAAACACGGUGAACUAUUUACCGUGUUUGAACACGGUGAAUGAUUCACCGUGUUCAACUUAACACACAGGUCCAGUCCUGCCCGCGUGGCGUUGACGUGGCGCCUGCGUGGCAGGCCCAGGGCUAUUUUUGCAAAUUAAAUUUUGACAGGGCUAUUUUUAAAAUAAAAAUUUGUCAGAGGUCUAAAUGCAAAAAAAAAUCCUAUUUUUAUACAUUGUAUCUUAAUUUUUUUUCCUUUUAAAUUCAUA